Long non-coding RNA from Catharus ustulatus (Swainson's thrush), 1299 nucleotides. RefSeq lists it as uncharacterized. NCBI's taxonomy places the organism in Eukaryota, Metazoa, Chordata, Aves, Passeriformes, Turdidae. The record is from RefSeq and is a predicted model, not a curated record. The transcript has 3 exons.
CAGCAAUGAGAUUGCUCAAUGCCUCAUCGCUGCUUGCUUCAAGAUGAAAAUUCACUGUGCUCCAAGAGCUAGAUGAGGCAACAGGGUGAAGAAUUGCAACCACAGGAGAAGACCAUAUCUUCUUCUGUACUGUUAUGUGGAAAGUGACCUGUUGUGUUUGUGGAAGCUUUGGAAUCCCGCAGGAGAAGGAUCACUGAGCACCAUGGCAGCCUGCCAAGUACAGCCUGUUCUGAAACACAGUGCUGGGAAGUUGCAUUAUCACCGAAGUGCAGUGUCAGCUUAGCAGGAGGUGGGUCAGGCCGGUGAUGAGCCCGUUGGUAGAGCAGCAAGCCCCUGGGUACGCUGCAUCUCUGCUGCCAGCUCUUCCUUUUCUUCCUACUCUGCUCUUCUCUCUGCCUGUCCUUGGAGGUGGCCCCUGCAGAGCUUAAAAUGCCACCCUCUUCUGUCACUGCACCGUGUUCAGCACCUGCUCUGUGCGCUGGCCACGCUCUAUAAGUGACAGUUUCUUAAAUUGCUAAGUUGUUCAUAAGUCAUAAAUUUUGUUCCAGUGAGAACAAGUGCUAAAAGUAUAAAAGGCACUAAUUUUAAUUUUAAUUUUAUUUCUGCUAUCCUAUGUCUUUGGUUUGUUUUAUGAAGUCAGAAAUCCUAAUAUUAUCUCAAACUCUACUAUGAUAAUAAAUCCAUACAAUCAAUACAGAAUAGACCAUAUAAAUAUUGCCUUCCAUAUUUAUGUAUUAGCUUUUACAAGUUAUUAUUGAUCAUAAUGAUUUUGAUAUAGUACAAUUUAUAAUUCCUUUUAACUGCUUUUGGAUAUAGUAUAAUCUGUCAGUUUUUGUGUGCACCAUAUAGCUUAUAUAAAUAGUAAUGUGAUAAAUGUAUUACAGCUUUAGCCUUAGCAGAAUAUUAAAAUAGAAAUUAUGUAAUGUCAAAAUGCUUUUAUUGAUGUAACUAACUCAGAGGAUGGUGUAAAAUAAUUAUGUUGUUUCUCACAUUUGUGAACUAUCUGAAUACAACAGUGACAAAAACCAGAGCACUGAGAGAAAAAUUUACUCUUCAUUAUCAAAACGUGUAAAAACAACUGGAUAGAACCACAAAAAGAAAUAAAAUGUAGAUCUAAACUACAAGAUGGCAUGCAGACAAGUCAAAGGUUAAAACCAAGAAAAAAAAGCUCCUAGAACAUCUAAACUCACAAGAAUAGUAGAAUAUGUAUAAACUCUCAUAAAUAUGAUUAACCCAUGUAAUGUAAAAAGUAUAUAAGAACACUGUUUUAAGCUAACAGGGUGUCUUUUACAAAUUGAC